This 253-nucleotide ribosomal RNA is filed under the name uncultured bacterium. Its description in RNAcentral is "partial 16S ribosomal RNA". It matches the Rfam family "Bacterial small subunit ribosomal RNA", at positions 524 to 776 of the family's 1533-position model. The record is from RNAcentral.
UACGGAGGGUGCAAGCGUUAUCCGGAUUCACUGGGUUUAAAGGGUGCGUAGGUGGGCAAGUAAGUCAGUGGUGAAAUCUCCGGGCUUAACCCGGAAACUGCCAUUGAUACUAUUUGUCUUGAAUACUGUGGAGGUCAGCGGAAUAUGUCAUGUAGCGGUGAAAUGCUUAGAUAUGACAUAGAACACCAAUUGCGAAGGCAGCCGGCUACACAAAUAUUGACACUGAGGCACGAAAGCGUGGGGAUCAAACAGG